This 253-nucleotide ribosomal RNA is filed under the name uncultured bacterium. Its description in RNAcentral is "partial 16S ribosomal RNA". It matches the Rfam family "Bacterial small subunit ribosomal RNA", at positions 524 to 776 of the family's 1533-position model. The record is from RNAcentral.
UACGGGGGGGGCAAGCGUUGUUCGGAAUUACUGGGCGUAAAGGGUUCGUAGGUGGCCAACUAAGUCAGACGUGAAAUCCCUCAGCUUAACUGGGGAACUGCGUCUGAGACUGGAUGGCUUGAGUGCAGGAGAGGAACGCGGAAUUCCAGGUGUAGCGGUGAAAUGCGUAGAUAUCUGGAGGAACACCGGUGGCGAAGGCGGCGUUCUGGACUGCAUCUGACGCUCAGACGCGAAAGCUAGGGGAGCAAACGGG